This 496-nucleotide ribosomal RNA is filed under the name uncultured bacterium. RNAcentral's name for it is "partial 16S ribosomal RNA". It matches the Rfam family "Bacterial small subunit ribosomal RNA", at positions 28 to 507 of the family's 1533-position model. The record is from RNAcentral.
GAUGAACGCUGGCGGCGUGCCUAAUACAUGCAAGUCGAACGCAUAGCGAAAGGUGCUUGCCCCUUUCAAGUGAGUGGCGAACGGGUGAGUAACACGUGGACAACCUGCCUCAAGGCUGGGGAUAACAUUUGGAAACAGAUGCUAAUACCGAAUAAAACUUAGUGUCGCAUGACACAAAGUUAAAAGGCGCUUCGGCGUCACCUAGAGAUGGAUCCGCGGUGCAUUAGUUAGUUGGUGGGGUAAAGGCCUACCAAGACAAUGAUGCAUAGCCGAGUUGAGAGCCGAAUGGGCACAAUUGGAACUGAGACAGGGCCCAACCUCCUACGGGAGGCGGCAGUAGGGAAUCUUCAACAAUGGGCGAAGCCUGAUGGAGCAACGCCGCGUGUGUGAUGAAGGCUUUCGGGUCGUAAAGCACUGUUGUAUGGGAAGAACAGCUAGAAUAGGAAAUGAUUUUAGUUUGACGGUACCAUACCAGAAAGGGACGGCUAAAUACGUG